GUCCCUUCGGGAACAUCGAUAAAAUUGGAAUAAUACAGAGAAGAUUAGCAUAGUCCCUGCGCAAGGAUGACAUGCACAAAUCUAGAAAUGAUCCAAAUUUCU
Molecule: small nuclear RNA, 102 nt
Filed under: Solanum tuberosum (potato)
Lineage: Eukaryota; Viridiplantae; Streptophyta; Magnoliopsida; Solanales; Solanaceae
Source: RNAcentral